Long non-coding RNA from Homo sapiens (human), 365 nucleotides. Lineage: Eukaryota; Metazoa; Chordata; Mammalia; Primates; Hominidae. The record is from Ensembl.
CACUACAGGCAAGAACAGCAAACCUGGGAGAAACUGACUCUAUAACCAGUGGAAGAAAGGCUGCGUAGCCAUCGCCGGAUCUCUAGGGGAAAAGAGAAGACACAGAGACACAGACCUGCCCCGGAGGAAUCCAGAGCCCACCUGCCCAGAGAGGCUCCUCCUGAUUUCCCUGGCUCUGGGCACCCCCUUAAAAGCCCUUUAUGCCAUCUUUCCUUUCAGUCAAAUGAUGCAGGAUUUGGGACCAGACAGCCUUUGCUCAAAUCCUUCCACUGUUACCUACCAGCUUGGUGGCCUUGGAGAAGUUAUUUCCCUGUUCUGGAUGUGCUUCCUCUUCUAUAAACUAGAGACGCUACAAAUUCCCACCA